UUUUCAAGGACUUUUGGAAUUUAACUUUGCGUAAACCACCAAAAAGAGGAACUUUUAUUAAUAAUUUCUUUAAUCAAUGUUCGUUACAAAAAAUAAAUAAUAAAAAUACAAUGAGAGAUCAAGUCUCCCAGGGACGACUUCUUUUUGGGUGGAGAUAUACAUUGAGUCUUCGUUCCUCAUUAAGCUGGCUGGUGAGCUCUAAUACUUUCUUCCUUUCUGCACCGAACUAAG
RNAcentral lists this long non-coding RNA (231 nucleotides) under Lathyrus oleraceus (garden pea). RNAcentral describes it as "Pisum sativum (pea) long non-coding RNA (PSAT_LNC037237)". Lineage: Eukaryota; Viridiplantae; Streptophyta; Magnoliopsida; Fabales; Fabaceae. The record is from RNAcentral.